ACGGGAGGCAGCAGUGAGGAAUAUUGGUCAAUGGACGCAAGUCUGAACCAGCCGUGUCGCGUGCAGGAUGACUGCCCUAUGGGUUGUAAACUGCUUUUAUAUUGGAAGAAUUGCGCUUACGAGUUAAGCGUUUGACGGUACAUUAUGAAUAAGGAUCGGCUAGCUCCGUGCCAGCAGCCGCGGUAAUACGGAGGAUCCGAGCGUUAUCCGGAUUUAUUGGGUUUAAAGGGUGCGUAGGCGGAAAUGUAAGUCAGUGGUGAAAUCCUGCAGCUUAACUGUAGAAUAGCCGUUGAAACUGUGUUUCUUGAGUACAUUUGAGGUAGGCGGAAUGUGGUGUGUAGCGGUGAAAUGCAUAGAUAUACCACAGAACACCGAUUGCGAAGGCAGCUUACUAAACUGUCACUGACGCUGAUGCACGAAAGCGUGGGUAUCAAACAGGAUUAGAUACCCUGGUAGUCCACGCUGUAAACGAUGAUUACUGGUUGUUUGCGAUACACUGCAAGUGACUGAGCGAAAGCAUUAAGUAAUCCACCUGGGGAGUACGUCGGCAACGAUGAAACUCAAAGGAAUUGACGGGGGCCCGCACAAGCGGAGGAACAUGUGGUUUAAUUCGAUGAUACGCGAGGAACCUUACCUGGGUUUAAAUGGGGAGUGACAGGCUUGGAAACAGGCCCUUCUUCGGACACUCUUCAAGGUGCUGCAUGGUUGUCGUCAGCUCGUGCCGUGAGGUGUCGGGUUAAGUCCCAUAACGAGCGCAACCCCUAUCGAUAGUUACCAGCACGUUACGGUGGGGACUCUAUCGAGACUGCCGGUGUAAACCGUGAGGAGGGUGGGGAUGACGUCAAAUCAGCACGGCCCUUACAUCCAGGGCUACACACGUGUUACAAUGGCCGGUACAAAGGGCAGCUACACAGCGAUGUGAUGCUAAUCUCCAAAUCCGGUCUCAGUUCGGAUCGAAGUCUGCAACCCGACUUCGUGAAGCUGGAUUCGCUAGUAAUCGCGCAUCAGCCAUGGCGCGGUGAAUACGUUCCCGGGCCUU
This 1039-nucleotide ribosomal RNA is filed under the name uncultured bacterium. Its description in RNAcentral is "bacterial SSU rRNA". It matches the Rfam family "Bacterial small subunit ribosomal RNA", at positions 341 to 1382 of the family's 1533-position model. The record is from RNAcentral.